Aricia agestis (brown argus) is the source of this 130-nucleotide small nucleolar RNA. RefSeq annotates it as small nucleolar RNA SNORA69. NCBI's taxonomy places the organism in Eukaryota, Metazoa, Arthropoda, Insecta, Lepidoptera, Lycaenidae. The record is from RefSeq and is a predicted model, not a curated record. The transcript has a single exon.
GAUUUAAAGAAUACCUACAUGUUUUUUUGUGACGGGAGAUAUGGACCUAAUUUAAAGACAGAUAAGUAAUAUUGGAGAUUAAUUAUUUUGACUAUAAAGUCAAAAUAAUUAAUCUCCAAUAUUACGAUUU